GGCAAAAGCCAUGGCAGAGUUUUAACGCUAGCGAAUUUGAUUCGUUAGAUCGUGGGUUCAAGACCCACCAUGGUCU
Non-coding RNA from Halocaridina rubra (Hawaiian volcano shrimp), 76 nucleotides. The record is from the annotation of a GenBank genome assembly. Lineage: Eukaryota; Metazoa; Arthropoda; Malacostraca; Decapoda; Atyidae.